GCGCGUGAGGGAUGUCGCGGUCUCGUGGUGGAACAUCUGACCCUUUUCAAGAGGAAGGAUGAAAACUCUACAUAGGAACACGAUGUGAAUGGAAGAAACCUGUCAUUAUUGGAUCACCUCCCACCCUGAGGCCCCCCAAGACUUUGAACAGUUCUUCAGUCAUCCUUACAGAAAGAUACCCUCUCCAGACAAACGCAGUAUUUAUAUACGGUCCAUUGGAUCUCUAUGAAGCACCAGAAUUAUCAGUGAAGAAUAUAUUAAAUGGCUCACGGGCUACUGUAAAGCAUAUUUCUAUCGCUUGAGAGUAAAACUGCUAGAACCAGUUCCUGUUUCUACAACAAGGUGUUCCUUUAGAGUCAAUGAGAACACACAAAACCUACAAAUUCAUGCAGGGGACAUCCUGAAGUUCUUGAAAAAGAAGAAACCUGAAGAUGCCUUCUGUGUUGUGGGAAUAACAAUGAUUGAUCUUUACCCAAGAGACUUGUGGAAUUUUGUCUUUGGACAGGCCUCUUUGACAGAUGGCACUGGUGAGGUGGAUUGAUGAUGAAUCUUCUGGCACACCUGGAGCAACUCCAGAACACAGUCGUGAGGAUAAUGGGAAUUUACUGAAACCCGUGGAAGGAAGCCUUUAAGGAAUGGAAAGAGUGGAUAAUAAAAUGCCUGACUGUUCUCCAAAAAUAAGGACCUUCAAAUAGGAGUGAUUGAAAUAAAUGACUACUUGCAUGUUAUGCUUUCAUUUGGGUGGAAUACUUCAUCAGAAUAAACUAUUGAUCUUGUGCUGUGUCAAAGUAACAGACUAGAACCUUCUUUCAAGUACCUGAAUUGAAAUGAAACUCAUUUUGAAUAAUAAAAACUCUAGAAACUCUU
Molecule: long non-coding RNA, 867 nt
Organism: Homo sapiens (human)
Lineage: Eukaryota; Metazoa; Chordata; Mammalia; Primates; Hominidae
Gene: AMZ2P1
Product: AMZ2 pseudogene 1
Source: Ensembl